GAAAUACAGUUCUAUUGGCAAGAGGCGUUCUCUGGAACUACGGUUUUAUCUUCUUCGUCGAUUUGUCAGCUAGCCAACAAUGGUGAUACAACAUAUCCAGUUAGACGAAUCGUGGUGUAGAGACUCUUUGUGGUGCUUCCAUAGAGUCGUUUCGUCUUUAGUUUAUAUCCUGUGAAACGUUACGAGAUGUCUUGAUUCAUCGUCUUUAAUAAACAUCUUAACUCAAUCAACGCACAUCAAGAACGGAAUUUCAAUCAAUGAUACUUAUCCAUGUUCUAGGUGGUAAAUCCACCUAUAAAAAGAUAGUCAUCGUCUUCUCCAAAUCGAUUCAUCGCAGCCCUAGUACUCCAGCUGAAUCCAAGCGCCGUUAACUCAAGCGUCGUUGAAUCAACGUAUUCACUAAAAUCAGCUCUCCACUCUCACGAAUCACGAUCUCCAUUACUUCUUUAACCUCUUUUGUGCAAUAAGAAUGUCUAAGAUAGUUCACCAACAAAAUCACGUAAAGGUUUUAUUCCAACAGAAAAUGAUGCACAAGUAUGUCUACAUACACGAAAGCUACUGCGAUCAACAAGAGCUUGCAAAUAUUUCCAGGAGCUUCGAUUCAACCUUCUAAAAGAUGCUGUCAAGGAAGGUCUAUUGCAUUUCCAGAAAGGUAGCGUUUCCACAAGAAAUCUUAAUGACCAUCAACAUCGUCCAUGACUAGCAGAGGAGUAUAGUUCCAAUUCUAACGCAAAAAAAAAAAAAAAAACUACUUCAAGAAGAAUAGUGUGCACACAGGUAGAAUAAUGUUUCUCUGAACCGUUCCUUCAAUUUUUUUUACUGAACAGCCAA
Brassica oleracea var. oleracea is the source of this 831-nucleotide long non-coding RNA. RefSeq lists it as uncharacterized. The record is from RefSeq and is a predicted model, not a curated record. NCBI's taxonomy places the organism in Eukaryota, Viridiplantae, Streptophyta, Magnoliopsida, Brassicales, Brassicaceae. The transcript is spliced from 6 exons.